GCUUGUCCUUGAUGGAUACCUCCUCGUGUGUCUCCUGGACCUCAUCUUGUGGGGUAUUGACUUGCCUAGCGUGCAUCUGCGAAACGCUCAUUGUCUCUAAGUGAGGAGGUAGGCUCUGGAAAUGACAAGAGGAGAAAACAAAAGGAAGCCAGGAACAAACCCUGUGCUCAUAAAAAGUGCCUGGAUGCACACAAUGGUCUAUUGUUAGCGUUUCAGCAUUAAUUAAGCACACUGCAAUGUACAAAAACAACCCUUCCAGCGUGGGAUCCUGGGAUCUCAAUGAGACAGGUGAGAAAGCUGCUGUUCUGCAAAUGCCAACUUUAUCCAUGUCAGAAGGGUGCCAGAGAUUUUUUUAAUUGAAUUUUCAAAUGUUUGGACUUCCCAUUGGUGCUUUUUAAUUAGCUAGUAUUGUUUUUAAUUUGUUCACUUAAAUUUUUAUAUGCACCGCUUGGUCAGUGGUUUCCUGGUAUUUUGUUGCAGCUGGUCAUAUUCUGUUAGGAAAGUAACUUCCCUUGAGGAACAACAACAACAAAAAAGAAUAAACAAACCCCCAAACACUUGAAAAAAAAAAUCAUAGCUCCCCAAGUUUCCCAUGAUUUAAUAACCUUGGCAAGAAGGACUUCUAAGUCUUACAAUGAUUUCUGCUUUGUGAUUGAUUUUACAUGUGUACUUUGAGAAAAAGGAAAGUCUUUCUGGUAUGCAAAUACAGAAGCAUGAAAAAUACCAUCUGUGUGGGUGGUCUCAAACUUUGCAUUUUUUAGUUUGCAAUGGUUGAAAAAGUUAAGGUGUUUCCAAUGCUUUAUGAGCUAUUACUGCUUUGAAAGUGUAAAGCAUAUCCUAAAAAUUAACUUGGAAAUUAGCUUUGUUUUGUUUGCCAUUUUAGAACAAAAUAUUUUCCACACACUUGGGAAGUAGUAAUCAUAUUGUCUGAUAGUGUAUAUCAGAUUUAGGAAUAUAAAAGAGGAGAAAAUAUGAUAAUCUGGUUUUGUCAUAUGGUGUGUUUUACUUCUCAAAGUUAGUGACUAUCUGACAUAUAGGUGGCAGCAUAUGUGAACAAAAGCCUAGGACUGUUGGUUGUAUGAAAAAAAUAUAUAUACUAUUACGCUCUGGCUUUCCACUUUCAGAAUGUAUAGAAAUUGUCCUUAAAUCAGCACAUCUCAGACUAAUUUAGUAAUACAUUCUUCUUGCUCUGGUAAUGUAUUUUCUAGUGUGCUCCAAGUCCUAAUUUCAGAGCUCUCCUGCGAAGACAAAAAAACUUCUAUCAAAGGUUUGGCCAGCUUAUAUUUAAGAUCUGUUAUUUGGUGUUCUUCUGUGCUUCGACCAGGUUCCAAAAAUCACUAACAAGUGCCAAGCAAAUUUCGUUUCAGAAAGUACUCAGCGGGAUUGCACACUAUCCAAAGUAAGCGCAGAGGCCCUGUUCAGGAAAGCAAUUUAUUGCCUUCCCUGCAUCUGUGAUGUGUGACUCGCACUAUGCAAAAGGAAUUAGUCAAGGCCACCAGUGAGAAAAUAUUCAGGAGGAAACAAAAUGAGCAGCAUGCUUUUUAAAAGCAGCUGCAUAUGUUCUCUUCCUGAAUAUAUGACCCAAAAUGUUGCCUUUCAUCCUGAGAUGUUCACUCAUGCUUCACUUUCCACAGCAGUCGACUGUUUCCAAUCUUAAUCUUCAAUGACACCUAUUUUUAAGUAUGGGACAGCUAAUAUUAACAAUAUUUAUUUGUAUUUCACCUGAAUUUCACUGUUGUCUGCCUUAUUAAUAUUAAGUGAACCUCAAAAUAGUCAGAUGUGAUGCUGUUUUCUCAGUGCUCAUCUGGAAACCAGAGGGAGACCCACAAGUCUUGCUUUCCAGAUUGUGAUCUAGAAACAAGAUCCACUUCCCUUGGCCAGUUUCCCACUCAACUAUUUGCUUCACUACAGUAAUGGCUGCUUUGCUGAGAAGUUCCCACCAGAGUUUGACCACCCAGAGGUACUAGUAUUAGGGCUACUACUGAAGAGAUGACCCAGCAUGACUCUUUCAUGUCUUUGUAUACUACUGUAGCACAGUGGACAACCUGUGAGGUUUCCUAACUAGGUGCUCACCAGGUGAACCUGGGGAAGGGCUGUUUCAUCUUGAAAUAUGUUUUCUAGCAUUUCAUGUUAAAUAUAUCUAAGAAGUGAUAAUGGAAAGGACUUUGGGAGCGCAAGAAAGGGACCAAACAAGUAUUUCUAUGAGCAAAGGUGUUUGUGAUGAGUGUUGAAGAUGUCUUCCUGGGUGGGCAAAAGGCCUCCCCCUCCUGUCUCCUUCGGGAAGUGACAGAAUCCAUACUCAAGCCUGGGCAACUUGGCAUGAGGCGCACAAAGAUAUCUCCAGCUUUAGUGACGCUGAUCUGUGCCCGACAUGGAGAAACAGGCUCCUCUACAGGACACAUCUGAAUGUUUAAUGGUGAAGUGUUGUGAGAUGGCUGACCAGAUGAAUAGCUUAUUGGUGCUGAGAAGGGGCAGAUCCCCCUUCACCCUAGCUGCUGCAUGUGUGGUCCCUCCCAUCUGCACAGGCUCUGCCACUCACCUGGCCCUGCAAUGAACCAGUUCAGCUCUCUGAGAAGCAGAAAAUAAUCCCUUUUGUCUUUCCUGCCUCUUCAGGUUAGCUGUCUCCUGGUAUAAAGAGGAGGUGAAUAAGCUAGCAGAGGCGGCAGCAAAGGGGUAGACCCAUAGCAAGGGAAGUGGUGGGUGAGCAUGGGACUAGGACAACAUGGAGAGUGAGAUGGUAUAUGCAGCAAAGAUAGGAGAGCUUUUUUUGCCAUCUUUGCACCUUUCCUGUGCUCUGCUCCUCCUCUGUACUGCUCUCCACCAAGUCCUGAGGGAACCUUUGAACAGCUACUUGUCACUGCAAAUUUACUAUUGGCAUAUCUUUUAUCAGCACCAAAGCCAGAUAAGGUAAGAACUGUUUGAACUGGCAAGAACAUUCCCAUGCGAGCAAGACCAGAAGCAGAAGAUUCUUAUCUCUAAGUGAAUUAAUACAGACCAUAUCUACACUUGAGUCCAGAGUCAACGAAGCUGGUGUGGACACGGUCCAGGCAGCUCUAAACCAGCUGGCUCAAAUGCUGAUAGCAACAAGGCUACAGAACACACUCUGGUUGGCAAAAUCUAGCCAAGCCUUGAGUAAAUAUUUGUGCAGCUACCUGUCUUAGCACCAUACAGUUAUCAAUAUAUCUGCUGAUACUAGUUUGAGCUGCACUUAAACUCCUAAGGCUAAAGUACAGGCAUAACCUUGUAGAACAGCUUAUGAAAAGCAGCUUUAUUUUUUUUUAAAUAUUUCAUACUUUUAAUUUUUUUUUUUUUCCAAAGCCUGUUUUACUACAAGAAAACAAAAGGUAAAAGAACAACUUAUACAUACAAGAGUCUAGCUAUUCGCCUUUGAUAACCCACUAUAGAAAGGAAUGAAAGAGAACAGGGAAAGUUGGUAAGACCAUAUUCUCAUUUGACUGCUUUUUUUUUUUUCCCAAUCUUAUUGAUUUCUUGUUAUUAAUAUUCUCUAAAUUAAGGCAUAUGCAAAAGGGUUUGUUUACACAGAGGAAAAGGCUGUUGCUGAUGUGAAAUGUGCUGUUGCUUGAUUGCUUCUAUCGCAGGGAAAAUGGAGCUGGCUCAGACCUAGACAGCCAGAUAAGAUGGACAAGGACAGUAGGUGUUGGAGAGAAGCCAACACGAGAGGAUGACAUGUCAGGUAUGAAAAGAUAAUUGAUUUGAGCAGGAGUUGACACUGCUGGGCAAGAUAUUGAGAUGAGUAGCAGAGAGAUAGGUUAAUAAAUAAUGAAGUGCUUUGAAGUUGGCCCAGCACUGGACAGACAGUUGCCAAACCAGGGGCUCCUCCUGUAGUGCAAAGCCCUGACAAUAGCACGCUCCAGCUCAGAUGGGUGACGGAGAGCGUGAAAUGAAGAACAGAGCUAGUUGUGAGGAGUCCUGAAAGAUCUGUGGCCGUCUAAUGUGUAACAUACGCAGGGUGCCCUCAUUACAAGUGAAGACCAGGAGGCCAACAUGUCACGAACUGAGGCCAGCUUCUGGUCUGGGGGAGGUGGUAAGCGCUGAACAGCAGUGUGGAAAUCAUGCCACAGUUAUUUUAUUUUAUUUUAUUUUAUUUUAUUUUAUUUUAUUUUAUUUUAUUCAUAUUAUUUUUAAAAUAAAAAAAAUACAGCUGAUGUGACUUUCUGUUCUGUUACUUUGAAAUCAAUGUGGUUACAUCAACAAAAAAAAUAAAUUAGACUUGAAAACAAGGAGACAUCAAGAGAACUUACGUGUAAGUAGUCUAACAAGUAAAAUGGAGACCAUCUUCAAAACUGCUUGCCUGGUCUAUAAGAGCUGAUCCAAGUGCACUUAAGGGUGUGAAUGAUCAAGAGAAGGAAUCGGUUGGUAGAGCGUAGAUAGGAAGCAAGAUGAACUACAUAAAAGGAUGAUUGUCAGUGAAUUUAGCAACGUAGCCUAAAAAUAGACACUUCGGCAGCAGGAGGUUCUGAAGACACAGAGCAAGAUGUCCAGAUGAUGUAAUUGUACCAUAGUUUUAGCUGUCAGUUCUCUACCAUUUGUUGUGCAUGUCACAGUAAAUGCUUUUCAUUUGUCAAAAAAAAAGACUCAAAGUGAGGAAAGAAAACAGUUCUCAGGCACCCAACGGAUGGUAUGAAGUGUUUUAGGCUAUUGCAACACCUUAAAAAACAUAAACAAAAAAAAAAACCAACAAAAUUUGAAUAGCCUGGGUAAUCUAAAUUUGAGAAUAGUGCUUCCAUCUUCUUUCUUUGCAGUUAAAGAAAGCCACUAUGUUAAGUUUGCUUUCUUUUGACCACAAUGUCCUCAUUCUGACACAAAAGUAUGUCUCAUCCUAAACCUCACCAGCUUCAGAGUUCAAGCCAUUCCUAACCCUGCCUUUGUAGCUGCAAAACCUGGGGCCUUAUAUUCAUCUUCGAGCACUCUUGAGUCUUCAAAUGCAGACAGAGCCUAUGGGACAGCCCUGGUACAGUUUGUUUUCUUGUCAAGGAGAAGACUUUAGAAGAAAGUAGGUCUGUAAAAGCUUUGGCCACCUGAGGAGGCAAGAGAAAAUAGGUAGUGAAGUGGCAGAAAAAGAGCCAAGGUCAGUGUGAGAAGAUGGUUUCAAAUGGCUCCAGCAGGAACGUCUCCCUGCUAGCUAGUCUUUGACCUGUGCCUUCCCGUAUUGCUGAUCAACCUUCUGUGUGUCCACAUGCUUGUUCUGGAGAUCUAAAAGGCUACACUGAGACAAUAUGAUGAGUGCUGCUUUUAUAGCCCUCUAUACUUAAUGUGCAUGUUAAGGAAGACAAAAGCCAAUUUGUUUCUAACAUCACUUCUCUCAGCGUCUCUAAUGUUUCUGCUUCUGAAUCAAAGGGAGGCAUUCUACAGUAAGACACUAAUAAAUAGCUUUUCCUCAGGGGAAGAAGCAUUUUCCCAUCUUCAAGAAAUUUCCUUGGCCAUGUGAAAUUCAAAUUUGUUAACUUGCCCUACAAAGAGCAACUCAUUUAGAAACAAAUUACAAAUAUUAGAUGGAGACAGUGAACUUGAUAAUGCAAUGCUGCCACAUCAGUUGUAGAAUAAUGCAUCUUAAUGAAGGCUUCCCAUGUGAAUAAACCAUUAUAUUUACAAGCUUUUCACAGUUAAUGACCCAGAACUGGAUAACGAAACUCACAUUUUUAGUGUGGUCCUCUGUCAGCAAAAGUAUACAUAUUAAUAAUUGAUGUUGCUGUAAAAAUAGGACAUAAUAUGAAGAUUCCUGAGUUUGUGGGAAAUAGGACUACAUGGUCCAUUAACUUAAAAUGCUUAUCUAAUGUUUGAUGGGCUUUGUCUUUAAAAUCCUUGUUUAAAUUAAUAAGGCAAAAUGGACAUUUGUCUAAAGGAGAAUUUUAUUCCAACUCAUCAGUCACAAGCAUGCUGAUGAGAGUGUUGUUUGAUUCUUCUGUCCUUUACUCCUUCUCUCCUCCCCAAAGAGAAUUUAUGUUUUAUGAAAGUGGAAGACCCACCAGCAGAAGGAAGGAUGAAGUUCCUUACACCUCUCAGGAACACUCUGCUGCAGAGUGACAUAACCUGUUCUUGGUAUUGUACUGAAGACUGGAGGCAAUUCUUCAGGAAUAAUUACUUGAUCCGGCCAAUCACCCCAUCUAGCACCUGCCGAAUCACUGCCUGCUUCUGCUGGUGAACAAGUUGGUCAUGGGCUGCCUCCAAGUGACGGAAGAUUUGCAUGUAUUUGAUGUAGGAAGUGGCUAACAACUUGAAUACUUUCACGAGGUCCUUCUCUGGCUGGAGGAAUUCUCCUCUCUCUUUGCAGAGUUGAAUAUCGAGGUCUUUCUGGGCAUCUGCCCACAUCUUAUUAGCUUCUCAAAGAAGAAUGAAGACAGCAAAAGACCCUGCCACCAUUAGAUGAGCUUUCAGAGCAGACCUCUUGUUCUGAGCAGCAUCGAGGGAGUGCUUGUCUACUAAUUCUGACAAUAAAGCUUGCACAGCUGUAAACGUUGCUUGUGCUUGAUAAUAAAUGCCUAAAUUGGA
Molecule: RNA transcript, 6510 nt
Organism: Columba livia (rock pigeon)
Lineage: Eukaryota; Metazoa; Chordata; Aves; Columbiformes; Columbidae
Exons: 5
Source: RefSeq, a predicted model, not a curated record